GCAGUAGUAUUCAAAAUUGAGUCCGACAUCCAUUUCCAUAGUUAAAAUAGCAAAUGGCUUCUUAGGAAUUCUUGAGCUCUGUUUCUCAUUUCCUAAUCUCUAGAUGAAAAGAUAUUUGCAUCCUUCUUUCUGCUUUUCAUAUGUUCGACAAUUGAUGAACUUAGAUGCCUUCAAGCAAACAUGGAUAACUUGUUUUCUGCAU
RNAcentral lists this long non-coding RNA (202 nucleotides) under Gossypium raimondii (Peruvian cotton). RNAcentral describes it as "long non-coding RNA (GRAI_LNC010617)". Lineage: Eukaryota; Viridiplantae; Streptophyta; Magnoliopsida; Malvales; Malvaceae. The record is from RNAcentral.